Amphimedon queenslandica is the source of this 267-nucleotide long non-coding RNA. RefSeq lists it as uncharacterized. NCBI's taxonomy places the organism in Eukaryota, Metazoa, Porifera, Demospongiae, Haplosclerida, Niphatidae. The transcript has 2 exons. The record is from RefSeq and is a predicted model, not a curated record.
GGUACAUACCAUACAGUAGACCUUGUCUUGACAUUAGUUAUUUAUUCCAGUGUGUGGAGUGUACAGUGGCCAGGACUUAAGACUGGUACUGGAGUAAAAGAACACGUUGCUUCUUCUAAGGUUAUAGAGACUGAGUGUGGAGAGCCAGUGACAAUGAGAGACUUAUAUUUUGAAAAUGGAGUCAUUUGGAAAUGCUGUGGACAACCUAAUGAAGUCUUUAUUUUACAGUCACACAGAUCUAAGCCAUCUGAAGGUAUGGAGAAAAAA